CCCCUUCGAUCCCCUUCUAUCCACGCGUCUCCCAAGCCUCGAGGCCACACGCAGGGAACGAGAUGGCAAAGCGACAAUGCCGCCCCGCCGCCACCGAGAGGAGGAGCCCCGCCGCCGGGGAGAGACGGGGACUAGGGUCUACGCCGCCGCGCCACCGCUCCCUCCCCUUCUCCGCUCCGCGAGCAGAGGCGGGGACUAGGGUUUACGCCGCUGCGCCACCGCCCCCUCCACUUCUCUGCUCUCCCUCUCCGGCGAGCCCAGCCACCUCCGAGGCCCCCCCGUUCGUCGAACUGCAUCGCCGCCCCAGCCCUCCGCCGCGGAGCCCAAGCUUGCUUGUCCCCUAGCCUCUUCCACGCUCCGCCACCAUCAACCUUCUCCACACCUCGCAGUCAUCGUCCUCCUUCACGCCUACCGUAGAGCUGAGACCCGCUGCUUGGAUUCUUGCUGGGGUGGACGAGUUGCCUCUGUCUUGGGAGUCAGUUGCCACGCCUAACUUCUGAGUUAUUACAAGCAUUUGCUGCUUCCCAGGCUGGAGUUAGAUGGUAACAAAGGAAUUAAAGAGCUCAAUUGCCAACGGCAGCAUGAAAUGCAGCUACCGAAAUACAAACAUGGCUACCACCCUAUGUUAAACUUUGGUUGUAACAGAAUAUUGUGAGGACAUGUUGCUCUUGUAACAGAAUAAUCUGGGAGCAAGUUAUAAUCUGGGAGUACAUGUUCUUCUUGUAAAAGAACAUGGUUAGAGUUGUUAAACUUGCAAACAUUGGAUUUUUAA
Long non-coding RNA from Aegilops tauschii subsp. strangulata, 772 nucleotides. RefSeq lists it as uncharacterized. The record is from RefSeq and is a predicted model, not a curated record. Lineage: Eukaryota; Viridiplantae; Streptophyta; Magnoliopsida; Poales; Poaceae.